GGGGGCGUAGCUCACUUGGUAGAGCGCUUGAAUGGCAUUCAAGAGGUAAAGAGUUCGAUCCUCUUCGUCUCCACCA
RNAcentral lists this transfer RNA (76 nucleotides) under Oscillospiraceae bacterium. RNAcentral's name for it is "tRNA-Ala". It matches the Rfam family "tRNA". Rfam says of the family: Transfer RNA (tRNA) molecules are approximately 80 nucleotides in length. Lineage: Bacteria; Bacillati; Bacillota; Clostridia; Eubacteriales; Oscillospiraceae. The record is from RNAcentral.